RNAcentral lists this ribosomal RNA (498 nucleotides) under uncultured bacterium. RNAcentral describes it as "partial 16S ribosomal RNA". It matches the Rfam family "Bacterial small subunit ribosomal RNA", at positions 30 to 523 of the family's 1533-position model. The record is from RNAcentral.
AUUGAACGCUGGCGGCAUGCCUUACACAUGCAAGUCGAACGGUAACGCGGGGCAACCUCGCGACGAGUGGCGAACGGGUGAGUAACGCAUCGGAACGUGCCCAAUCGUGGGGGAUAACGUAGAGAAAUUUACGCUAAUACCGCAUGAGAUCUAAGGAUGAAAGCAGGGGAUCGCAAGAACUUGCGCGAUUGGAGCGGCUGAUGUCCGCUUAGGUAGUUGGUGGGGUAAAGGCCCACCACGCCGACGAUCUGUAGCUGGUUUGAGAGAACGACCAGCCACACGGGGAAUGACACACGGCCCAGACUCCUACGGGAGGCAGCAGUGGGGAAUGUUGGACAAUGGGCGAAAGCCUGAUUCAGCAAUGCCGCGUGCAGGAAGAAGGCCUUCGGGUUGUAAACUGCUUUUGUACGGAACGAAAUAGCUCUGGUUAAUACCCGUAGUUGAUGACGGUACCGUAAGAAUAAGCACCGGCUAACUACGUGCCAGCAGCCGCAGUAA